UUCAAAUCACGAGAUCUGGAAGUGAUUAAAAACAAGAUCGGUAUAGCGAACGGCUUAUCGACACGAAAUAAAAACUCACAGAAUUGCAGUAUUUGUUGACAAAUAUGUAAAAGCAAUAAAAACAAGCAUAUACGUGCUAGAUCACAUUAUGAGAUUCGCUACGUAACUACAGAUAGCUGAAUUUCAUUAUAUCUAGGUAAUUUAACGCAAAAUUAUACUACGCUACCUAAAUUAUCUAAGAGAUCAGAAUUUGUUCAAAAUUAAGAGCGUUAUUUCGUUCUCUAGAAUACUUCUUGAAAAUUCAUUGUCUAGAAAAUCGUUUCAUGCAUCGGUACGAAUACGAUAUAAGAACAUUACGGUCAUGUUUCUCUUGCAAUAAAUCGUCGUUACGCGGUUAAUUGUUUUUCCCUACAAGACCGAUAAGGACUUGCAUUUACUGCACUUUGACGCGAACACGAUCAAAGAAACGAUCAUGUUACGCUCAUUGUACAGACACAUACAUACGCAACUUGGAAAAUAAUUACCUCAAUUAGUCAUCUUCAAAUCGAUUUUAAAAGCAAAGACUCGCCUUUAACUGGAGCAAAUAUUUGACAGCGCAGGUAUAAGCGAGAGAAACUUCAUCGAUCGACAAAUUUCUCAAACAAUAAAGUUUUAUCGUUAAAUCAACAACACAGAAGAAACAUAGUUAUCACGUUGCGUAUCCUGUCUGCGUAAACCAAAUUUGAAAAAUCUACAGGCCGAGUGCGACUUAUCGAUAUUUUGAAUGUCCUCCACGAUUACUCGAUUUCAUUCACUGCGAAAGACCACUUGCACGAUUGAACUAGUAUUAUUAAUAUUAUCGAGACUAGUAUUAUCAUAACCUACAAUUUGUACCUUGUCAAUUCACUGAUAUUAUUGGUUAGUAAUAUACCGUAUGAGAUGACGAAGAUCUCGUAACUCGUCGAAAAAGAUGAAACAGACAUUUGUAUAGACAGAAAUGAUAUUUCAGCUGGAAAUUUUCAAAGCAAAGCUCUCUCUGUAUUCUCCCUUUCUCUGUCAAGAGCAUGGCGAGGCACGCCCGUGUCGUACGUGUACAUAUGCUCACGAGCAGCCGUUAGCGGUUAAACACGAACGCGUCCUGUAUCAUGAUUCAUGAGGGAAUAUGAGCAGAACGUCAAUGAAUCGUAAUACAUAAUGACAUAUAGAAUCAAUCUAUGCUGCUUUCAUAUCGAAACGUUCGCAGAUUAACCUAAUCUCGAUAUAUCGCGCAUCGAAACAAUAGUUGCGAUAAUCUUACAGAUUGCACACCGUGCCUUACACUAUACCCUCGAAAGCAAGGUUAUCAUUGAAUACUCAUAGUCUUCUGUAUUGCACACUUAGAUCACGCUAUUGUAUAUCCAAAAUAACCGUUACUUUGCGCAUGUACAUUGACAUUUCCGUGAAUCUUGAAUAUCGAUUUAUAACUUAAGAAUAUUCGUAAUGCGAAAGAUGUGUUUGAUAUUGGCAGCUCCACUGCAACAUAACACUAACGCGAGUAACGAGGUAACACAGUGUAUAAAUUGUACACUUAUCAAAUAUGUAUUUUAAUCUUUUUCAGUGGCAAAGACCGAGCAGCAAGAAAUUCAUCGAUCACCGAACCUGUACGAGCAAGAGAGAUCGCGGGGAACAAAAACGACGGCUUGGAAUGCGUGAAUGAAUUAUUUAUAGAGAACAGAAAGUAAGGAAGAUGACGAACCUGAGUGGCAUGAUUCUCAGUCCUAUGCAUACAAGCUUAGAUGCGCGUGAAUUCUUUUGUGAAAACGUACGAGAGAAAAUAGUAAGCACGGUAACGGAAUUCGUAUCGUAGAUCGUAGUAAGAUGACAAGUUACUGUCAUACACCGCCGCACCGGUAGUCAUCGAAGAUUUCAUGAGAAAGGAAGCGAAGAAGCACAGCGAUGAGUAGACCCGGGGUUGGGUACGCAGAGAAAGGAGGGGAUAUACCAAAGGAGAGAAGAACGUCGCCCGCGGCUAGCAACCGCAAAGGCAAAACUCCCGUGAGUGGUUUGCCACCGUGAACUGGUUUUGGGGGGUAUCCUUGUUACGCGUUGGCGAAAACAACGGGUCAGCAUCCGAUGCACUUCAACGUGUGUACUAUUCGGUGUUGUCGUAUAUGAGUAUAUCAUAAAAGAACGAAAAAACGAUAAAGAUAGAUAGGUGGAGGAAGAAACAGUCUCAAGUAGACUUACCCAGAGUUCUGUACCCCAGCUCAUGUUUGCUGGGCUGGGUAAACCAGGCACAAGCAGGUUUGGUCUCACUCGACACUUCACAUGUAGCGUCGCAAUCCAAAAAGCACUUCUUAUAUAUCGAACACGCACAAAAAA
Bombus impatiens (common eastern bumble bee) is the source of this 2340-nucleotide long non-coding RNA. RefSeq lists it as uncharacterized. The record is from RefSeq and is a predicted model, not a curated record. The transcript has 2 exons. NCBI's taxonomy places the organism in Eukaryota, Metazoa, Arthropoda, Insecta, Hymenoptera, Apidae.